ACGAACGCUGGCGGCAUGCCUAACACAUGCAAGUCGAACGAGACCUUCGGGUCUAGUGGCGCACGGGUGCGUAACGCGUGGGAAUCUGCCCCUCGGUUCGGAAUAACAGUUAGAAAUGACUGCUAAUACCGGAUGAUGACGAAAGUCCAAAGAUUUAUCGCCGAGGGAUGAGCCCGCGUAAGAUUAGCUAGUUGGUAGGGUAAAGGCCUACCAAGGCGACGAUCUUUAGCUGGUCUGAGAGGAUGAUCAGCCACACUGGGACUGAGACACGGCCCAGACUCCUACGGGAGGCAGCAGUGGGGAAUAUUGGACAAUGGGCGAAAGCCUGAUCCAGCAAUGCCGCGUGAGUGAUGAAGGCCUUAGGGUUGUAAUGCUCUUUUGGCGGGGACGAUAAUGACGGUACCCGCAGAAUAAGCCCCGGCUAACUUCGU
RNAcentral lists this ribosomal RNA (431 nucleotides) under uncultured bacterium. RNAcentral's name for it is "bacterial SSU rRNA". It matches the Rfam family "Bacterial small subunit ribosomal RNA", at positions 29 to 506 of the family's 1533-position model. The record is from RNAcentral.